Notothenia coriiceps (black rockcod) is the source of this 437-nucleotide long non-coding RNA. RefSeq lists it as uncharacterized. The record is from RefSeq and is a predicted model, not a curated record. NCBI's taxonomy places the organism in Eukaryota, Metazoa, Chordata, Actinopteri, Perciformes, Nototheniidae. The transcript is spliced from 2 exons.
AUCCUAAGGACCGGGGCUUGUCUGUAGCUCUAGGGUUCUCCAAGUGCAUGCCAGAUAAAAGGUCGGUCUUUGACUGUUCUGGCCUCUUAUGCCAUCAGCAGCCACUCAACUGUCCAACAGAUCCUCACGUCAAUAUGUAGAAAUGCUUACUGCGCAACAACAGUUAUGUUAUUUUAAUGCUGUUCUCUUCCUGCAGGCAUCAAUCUGCCCAUGAGAUCUAAUCCGAUGUCUUUGGGAUCCAGAGGCUCCAUGUUCCUGCUGUGCGGUGCAGUGCGUUGAAGGCAGCAGGAAGAUGGUGAAGGAGGACGGGAGGAUGUAGCGACUGGACAAAGUGCUAUAGAAGUACCUUCAGUUCUCUGUAAAAAAAAAUCUUACAAACUGAUCAGCUGAACGUUUUUUCUCCAGAACAAUUGUUGAAAUAAACAUCUUACAAGGAA